UUUUUUUUUUUUCACCAUACAGCCAAAAAAAAACAAACCCUGAGAUUUUACUGUGUGGUAGAUUUUACAUUGGACAAUUUUUUAAAUAUAUUGCAUUUCGAAUGGCUAAUAACUGCUUUGUUGUGAUUGGUUCAUCUCUUGUGGCCAUAAGAUUAUUAUAAUUAUAGUAUGAAAGCAUACAAUUUGCCAAUUAGGUCAAUGAUUACUUUACUGCCUCCUACUUCAAUCCUUCAGCCUUACUUUUUUUUUCGCUGAAGAGUGAAAGCUGUAUAAUGCACAAGGGACCUUGGUC
This is a non-coding RNA of Biomphalaria pfeifferi, 292 nucleotides long. Lineage: Eukaryota; Metazoa; Mollusca; Gastropoda; Planorbidae. The record is from the annotation of a GenBank genome assembly.